CGUUCGCCUGGGGACUACGAGCACUAGCUUAAAACCCAAAGGACUUGGCGGUGCUUUAGAUCCACCUAGAGGAGCCUGUUCUGGAACCGAUAACCCCCGUUUAACCUCACCCUCCCUUGCUUAUUCCGCCUAUAUACCGCCGUCGUCAGCUUACCCUGUGAAGGCAGCAUAGUAAGCAAAACCAGUACAACUCAAAACGUCAGGUCGAGGUGUAGCAUACGGGAGGGGAAGAAAUGGGCUACAUUCUCUGGUUAAGAGAAUACGGAUAAUGACAUGAAAAAUCAUUUGAAGGAGGAUUUAGUAGUAAGCAAAAAGCAGAGUGUUUUGCUGAAACCGGCCCUGAAGCGCGCA
Molecule: ribosomal RNA, 351 nt
Filed under: Atherina boyeri (big-scale sand smelt)
Lineage: Eukaryota; Metazoa; Chordata; Actinopteri; Atheriniformes; Atherinidae
Description: partial 12S ribosomal RNA
Rfam family: Bacterial small subunit ribosomal RNA
Source: RNAcentral